Long non-coding RNA from Xiphophorus hellerii (green swordtail), 912 nucleotides. RefSeq lists it as uncharacterized. The transcript has 2 exons. Lineage: Eukaryota; Metazoa; Chordata; Actinopteri; Cyprinodontiformes; Poeciliidae. The record is from RefSeq and is a predicted model, not a curated record.
AGAAGGAAGCCGGCCCCUCUCUAUAGUCCUGGUCAGAGAGUUUGGCUCUCCGCUAAGGAUAUUCCCCUGAAAGCCGCGCCUCGGAAGCUGUCCCCUAGAUUUCUGGGCCCUUUUGAAAUUCAGGAGGUGAUAAACCCUUCUGCGGUGAGGCUCGGGCUCCCGCCCUCUCUUAAGGUGCACCCUGUGUUUCAUGUCUCCUUGUUGAAACUGGUGAGGACUAGCCCGCUGUGUCCUCCGGUUGCCUUCCCUCCCCCCGCCCGCAUCAUCGAUGGAGCUCCGGCCUAUACGGUGAAUAAGAUUCUGGAUGUCCGUCGGCGGGGUCGGGGAUUUCAGUAUCUGGUGGAUUGGACGGGGUACGGCCCGGAGGAGCGCUCCUGGAUUCCCAGAUCGUUUAUUCUGGAUCCGUCUGUUCUACGUGAGUUUCACGCCUCCAGGCCCAGGAGCGUCGCUGGACCACCAGGUGGCGGUCGUUGAAGGGGGGGUACUGUCAGGAUUCAGGUUGGAGUGAGGGCUCUUUCCAGAGACGAGCUACGCGGAGGAGUUUGACAGCCUGACGUACCUGCAUCGGAUCCUGGUAACCAGCGGCAGGCUUCUUAAGAAGCGGUGGAACCACCAGUCUUCGCUCGAUGGUUACCACUUGUUGACCUUGAUCCCGCUUCCCGGAGCCAAGCCUGGAACUUCACCGGUCAGGCACGUCUCGCUGGUUGGCACCUCCAAGCCGUUCCAAUCCGCUGCAGCCCGGGACCCCUGAACCUACCUGGACUCCCUUUUCCUCCUGACGUCCUCCAGUCUCAAUUCUCGAACAAUCAUUUGACCUCAUUAAAACAAACCCUCUUAAACGUAAAGUCUGUUCUUCGGUGCGCACCUGCAUGUGGGCAAGGAAAUUAAAAUCCAACAUGACAGAUGUCCUUU